GACGAACGCUGGCGGCGUGCUUAACACAUGCAAGUCGAACGGAAAGGCCCCUUUGGGGGUACUCGAGUGGCGAACGGGUGCGUAACACGUGAGUAACCUGCCCUUGACUUCGGGAUAACUUCAGGAAACUGGGGCUAAUACCGGAUAGGAAUCCUUGCUGCAUGGUGGGGGUUGGAAAGCUUCGGCGGUUUUGGAUGGACUCGCGGCUUAUCAGCUUGUUGGUGGGGUAGUGGCUUACCAAGGCUUUGACGGGUAGCCGGCCUGAGAGGGCGACCGGCCACAUUGGGACUGAGAUACGGCCCAGGCUCCUACGGGAGGCAGCAGUGGGGAAUAUUGCACAAUGGGCGGAAGCCUGAUGCAGCAACGCCGCGUGCGGGAUGACGGCCUUCGGGUUGUAAACCGCUUUCAGCAGGGGCGAAGCUUUUGUGACGGUACCUGCAGAAGAAGCACCGGCUAACUACGUG
RNAcentral lists this ribosomal RNA (464 nucleotides) under uncultured bacterium. RNAcentral describes it as "partial 16S ribosomal RNA". It matches the Rfam family "Bacterial small subunit ribosomal RNA", at positions 28 to 507 of the family's 1533-position model. The record is from RNAcentral.